Small nucleolar RNA from Cyprinus carpio carpio, 86 nucleotides. Lineage: Eukaryota; Metazoa; Chordata; Actinopteri; Cypriniformes; Cyprinidae. The record is from Ensembl.
UGAUGACAAUUCUCCGGAAUCUCUGUACUUCAUUGAUGACCUCCUUUGAACCCUAUAUUCUGAUGACUGUUGAUGCUGACGUUAUU